ACACUCCUACGGGAGGCAGCAGUGGGGAAUUUUGGACAAUGGGCGCAAGCCUGAUCCAGCCAUGCCGCGUGCGGGAAGAAGGCCUUCGGGUUGUAAACCGCUUUUGUCAGGGAAGAAAAGGUUCUGGCUAAUACCUGGGACUCAUGACGGUACCUGAAGAAUAAGCACCGGCUAACUACGUGCCAGCAGCCGCGGUAAUACGUAGGGUGCAAGCGUUAAUCGGAAUUACUGGGCGUAAAGCGUGCGCAGGCGGUUAUGCAAGACAGAGGUGAAAUCCCCGGGCUCAACCUGGGAACUGCCUUUGUGACUGCAUGGCUAGAGUACGGUAGAGGGGGAUGGAAUUCCGCGUGUAGCAGUGAAAUGCGUAGAUAUGCGGAGGAACACCGAUGGCGAAGGCAAUCCCCUGGACCUGUACUGACGCUCAUGCACGAAAGCGUGGGGAGCAAACAGGAUUAGAUACCCUGGUAGUCCC
RNAcentral lists this ribosomal RNA (472 nucleotides) under uncultured organism. Its description in RNAcentral is "partial 16S ribosomal RNA". It matches the Rfam family "Bacterial small subunit ribosomal RNA", at positions 333 to 797 of the family's 1533-position model. The record is from RNAcentral.